GACGAACGCUGGCGGCGUGCUUAACACAUGCAAGUCGAACGGAAAGGCCCUGCUUUUGUGGGGUGCUCGAGUGGCGAACGGGUGAGUAACACGUGAGUAACCUGCCCUUGACUUUGGGAUAACUUCAGGAAACUGGGGCUAAUACCGGAUAGGAGCUCCUGCUGCAUGGUGGGGGUUGGAAAGUUUCGGCGGUUGGGGAUGGACUCGCGGCUUAUCAGCUUGUUGGUGGGGUAGUGGCUUACCAAGGCUUUGACGGGUAGCCGGCCUGAGAGGGUGACCGGCCACAUUGGGACUGAGAUACGGCCCAGAUUCCUACGGGAGGCAGCAGUGGGGAAUAUUGCACAAUGGGCGGAAGCCUGAUGCAGCAACGCCGCGUGCGGGAUGACGGCCUUCGGGUUGUAAACCGCUUUCGCCUGUGACGAAGCGUGAGUGACGGUAAUGGGUAAAGAAGCACCGGCUAACUACGUG
This 468-nucleotide ribosomal RNA is filed under the name uncultured bacterium. RNAcentral describes it as "partial 16S ribosomal RNA". It matches the Rfam family "Bacterial small subunit ribosomal RNA", at positions 28 to 507 of the family's 1533-position model. The record is from RNAcentral.